Molecule: ribosomal RNA, 216 nt
Filed under: Glomeromycotina sp.
Lineage: Eukaryota; Fungi; Glomeromycota
Description: partial small subunit ribosomal RNA
Rfam family: Eukaryotic small subunit ribosomal RNA (bases 75-216)
Source: RNAcentral
GGGUCAGUAGGUUGGUCGUGCCACCGGUACGUACUGGUCUCACUGAUUCCUCCUCCCUGAAGAACCGUAAUGCCAUUAAUUUGGUGUUGCGGGGAAACAGGACCGUUACUUUGAAAAAAUUAGAGUGUUUAAAGCAAGCUAACGCUUGAAUACAUUAGCAUGGAAUAAUGAAAUAGGACGAUCGAUCCUAUUUUGUUGGUUUCUAGGAUUGACGUA